This is a long non-coding RNA of Acipenser ruthenus (sterlet), 2674 nucleotides long. RefSeq lists it as uncharacterized. The record is from RefSeq and is a predicted model, not a curated record. Lineage: Eukaryota; Metazoa; Chordata; Actinopteri; Acipenseriformes; Acipenseridae. The transcript has 2 exons.
UCAUGGUGUGUCUCAAUCACCAAACAUAUGGCUAAUCAGAAUAAACAGAAAUGUUCCUUGCGGAAGUGAAACCUUCACGCAGGCGUGCCUGUUUGUUACUUCGUCGGCUUACGAACGGUCAUCAUGCAUUUUGUCUCACUUGAUCGGUCAAAGCGUGUCGACCCACAUCCUGAGGUCAACCGAAGUAUGUGGUUUAACACUACAUGUGAUUGUGACCUUGGUAGCCACAACCCGGGUCGGGACUCAGCUAAUCUUUCAGGAUUGACCUGCUGAUAUUGAAAUUUGCAAAGACAAUGGCUCACCUGUAGGUCUGGUCACAUUUCUGAACCUGCUCACAGUAGAUAUGCACAAUCCAUUGUCUAAGCUUUUGUGUUUCAAUGUAUUCAUUGCAGAACAUUAACCCUCUGUGUUUGCCAGUGCUGUGUUUAGUCUGUGUGAGUUUAGAAUGCAUUUUUCACAUGUUAAGCAAGCAAGUAGUUUCAAAUGACAUUUGAACAGAGUUAUGCCUUAUCUUUUUAUGAUAUUUGCAACCGUUGCUCAAAUAACUGAGUUUCAUUGAUUUUUAAAAAAAUAAAAUAUAACCUGGGAAAUGGUUCUGAAGGGUUUGUGCUUUCCAACAUGAACUAAUAAAUCAGAUUAACAAAUACACCUAUUAAAUGUCCUAUUCAGAGAUUCAAUGUAAAAAUAACAAUUGGGAAUUGCUUAUACAGUGGUGGCCAUAAGCACUGGCACCCUCAACUCUAUUGAGAAGUUUUAAAAAAAUUUGAGAAGAGUGACAAAAGAUGUCUCCCAGAAUUGUGCAAGAGCUAUAGGCUAUGACAAGCUGUGAUGAAUCCAUAUACAGUAAUCUGUCACAUAUAGGACUGCGGUGGGACCAGAGUAAGGGUAGAUAUGUAAAAAGUCGGAUGAAUGAAUCCUGUUUUAAAUACCAUUAUACACAGCUGUAACAAUUACUAUAUUCACACAAUUAUUGUUUUGAGAUUGAGCUUUUAUUAGGGAGCUCCCCUAAAGCUCUUGUUUAGAAAGAAACAGGAUAUUAAUGCUUGUGACAGGGUAGCCGUCUGCCGUGUGGGUGCGUGCAUUCGCUGCUGAGUGACAGGCAGGAGAUCGAGACGGGUGUGGAAGUUGAUACGCCCUGAACAGCUCACGUGACACUACCAGCAAUGGCAGUGCACUGAUCACAUAAAACAUAGUGUAAGAAAAUUUUGGUAGGAUCUAAAAUAUUUGAACUAAUCUUCUCUGUUCAAUAAUAAACUAACGUUGCUGAGAGGUUGAUCAUGGCGGAUAAGUGGCUAGGGUGUAUAUGUGACGGGCGGAUACGCGACGGAUUACUGUAGGUCGUAUCAAAUAAAGAUACACCGAAUAGGCCAGUAUUAUUUAUCAAGAUUUAUCCUGACUAAUAAAUUAUUUAAUUAACUAGUAAAAGCACAAUAAGACUUCUAAAUAUAAAUCGGAAUCACUGCAUAUCAUGGGAGCUAAUUGUUUUUUUGGAGCAUAGGGUGAAACUGAACCAACAAAGAAGAGAAUGCAAGUGACUGUAAAUAUCCUGAGAAUUGGGUCCCUGAGUGGUGUGCAGGGAGAGUCGUACAAUCAAGGGAGCCCAGGUUCAUUUGUCGAUCUUCGCUGAGGAUUUCACAUGGAGCGUUAGAUUGACUCUGGCGCGUUAGGGAGUCAGCAUCUUCAAGGACUGAGUCACCUCACCGCUCUACAGCACACCCUACUGGCCAGACACCCGGUGAGCUCAAGAAGACACCUGUUGGGUUGUACUUUGUUCUUCAGAGGCUGGCAGCUCCUUGGCAUCUGCUCUUUGAGCUCCUGGGUGUGAAGAGAUAAGUGGCUUGGCUGUGGAUUGGAGGACCUCUGACCCUGCAUUCUCCUGAGCUGUGUUUGUAGAAUUGCAGUGCUAAGAUAAUUGGGCAAUAGAUGCUAUUUAUAGUACAGGUUAGUGCGUUAUAGAGGCGUACAUGUUUAUACUGCACUCUUUAUUUGUUUCCCCCAGGCAUAAAUGAUAAGUUCAUUCACAGCUUGUGAUAUGCGGAGUCAAACUAAAUAUUGAACUUUAUAAAAUGUACUAUGUGAAGUAUGCUUUUGCAUUAUAGAGAUAUACAAUCAAUAGACAAAGUAUGCUUAUACUAUUUAGUACCAUUAUAAAAGGAACAGCUGUCUGAAAGUCUUUUAACUCAGACUAAUGACUUCCCAUGAUUUUAAAAAAAAAUUACGCUGUCCCACUAUCAUGUUUGAUUUUACUCUAAUGUAUGAUUCCUGUGUUAAUUUUUAUUUAAAAAUAUUGUUGCCCUGUUGUGAUCCUUGUUGGGCAUUUGAACAUAGUAGACUCUAUUAAUCAGAAGUAUCUGCUGAUCUUGUCUGUCAUUUAAGGAUUAAAGGAUUCGCUACCCAUGUUCUUGGGUGUGAAGCUGGGAUUUAAAAACAUUAUUGAAAAUAACCAUGUACUGUAUAAUGUUCUAAGCCAUAAAAUCUGAGAAUGUUUACAAUGUAAUUAACAUGGCUAAUAUCCAAUGUUUAACCCUGGAUCUCUCAGACAGACAAUGACUAAUUGGACAUACUGUAGGAAGCACGGCUAACAAUAUUACAGGUAACUAUGUUAUCAUAAUAGCUGGGAGUAAAUCCCCAUCUUUUUCAAUCCAUAAUUAUAAAAUAAUUAUUGACUCACAAA